Long non-coding RNA from Oncorhynchus tshawytscha (Chinook salmon), 1004 nucleotides. The record is from Ensembl. NCBI's taxonomy places the organism in Eukaryota, Metazoa, Chordata, Actinopteri, Salmoniformes, Salmonidae.
GCCCUCUACAAGAGCAGCAUGUCAACCACCCCCCUUCCCUCCUCUCUCUCUCUCACACACACUCCCUUGCUCAAGAAGGGGCCAUCUAUCUCUACUCUGGACAGAGGCAGCAGGAGCCAAUGAAAAUAAAGUUAGUUUGUGCUGCAGUCACCACAUUGCCAGAGCUGCAGCAAACCCACACAGCCAUCUGGGAACCUCUCUGGUGUUCAGCUGCACGCCUGCCGGUCCAACCCCAAUGCUCCCCUCGCUCCCUCGCCGCUGCGCCACUGCCAGGGCACCAAUCGUUAACAAUCCCCCUUUCCUCUCCUCUCUCCUCUGUCUCUCCCUCGCUUCCUCCCUCCCCCUCCCUCCGGUCUCUCCCCUGACCUUUCCCAGGCAGUGUGUUUCUCCGCUCCAAGCGGGUGGUUCUGUCCAGUCAGCCAGCCAGGCUAUAGGACAGCUGCUCUUGCUGCUGCUGUUGACAUUGUUCUCAGAAUCUCUGUCUGUACUGUAAACACAGCAACAUAGAUCUGUAGAGUAACUAGUGCAGUGCCUAGAGGUGCUCUGUGUGAGGCUGUCUGUUUACCUCCGUGUUCUCCUCUCCAUCAAUAGCACAUCGACAAGACCGAGAGGCCGGACACACAUGUAGAGGGACGGACGCAAGCUUUUUUUUCUUCCUGACGACGUCCUUCGACGCCAGAGCCACAGAUGUAGUGUUGGUGGAGAAUACCUACAUAGCCUAGAAUUUAUCCUUGGAUACAAAAUUCCCAUGAAGCUACACAGAGAGACAGCUAGGUCUGCUGUCAUGAACUUUCAGCGAGCCCGAGGUUUAGAAUGCAAGGUGUACGUGGCGACCUUCGUGUCAAACAUUAGCCUCGACCACAAAAAUGGUACGGCAGCCAUCUUUUCUUUCUCUAGCAGUGUUUUGUUCUAGUUCUGUUCAGAGUGAUGAUCUGGACACCAUUUGUAACUUUACGACUCUGUAUUAAACCCUGCGGCUUCAUUAAGAAUCACUUGAAAAUAAG